Molecule: unclassified non-coding RNA, 165 nt
Filed under: uncultured Helotiales
Lineage: Eukaryota; Fungi; Ascomycota; Leotiomycetes; Helotiales
Description: sequence contains ITS1
Source: RNAcentral
CAGAGUUCAUGCCCUUCGGGGUAGAUCUCCCACCCUAUGUAUUUAUACCUUUGUUGCUUUGGUGGGCCGCUCGGCUUCGGCCAGGCUACCGGCUCCGGCUGGUAAGCGCCCGCCAGAGAACCAAACUCUGAAUGUUAGUGUCGUCUGAGUACUAUAUAAUAGUUA